Molecule: long non-coding RNA, 614 nt
Organism: Gossypium arboreum
Lineage: Eukaryota; Viridiplantae; Streptophyta; Magnoliopsida; Malvales; Malvaceae
Exons: 3
Source: RefSeq, a predicted model, not a curated record
CAGGAAAUCUCCAACCAUAGUGGGCUUGGAGCUGUGAGGGAAUUCGGAGUGGCCACCCGUUCUGAAAGUUUGAUUUUCUUCUGGCCUCCGUUGCUAUGUCGUUGCCGCCGUGUCGUCUGCCGUGCCUGCCCCCGUACACGGUGGCCGGAGAUCACCAAAAGUGCAGCUUGGGCGGUGGAUUUGACUUGUCAGUGGAAGCAGAGGCGGUGGCCAGGCAAGUGGCUCUAGGGGCAGCGGCCUAGGGUGAAAAGUCUAGGGUUUUCUUUUUCUUCUUAUAUCACCGAUUGGCCAGAGAUGAAACAAGAGCUGAGAAAGAUGUUUUUGCGGUUUUGGGUUAGUGGGUUUGUGGGUCUGUUGGGUUUAUGGGUAAGUUAUUUGUUUAGUUUGGGCUUUUGUUAGGUUUAGUGGGUUGUUGGUUUUGUUUAUUGGGUUAGGGGAUUUUGGGAUUGGGCUAGGUUAAAAUUUGGGCCUGUACAGCUGCCCCUCUUUGCUUGUUGUCGUGUAACGAGAAUGGAGCAAAGACUCGGAAAGGGGCCAAAUUUGCCUGGUUUCACCGGGUCUCGACUUUUUUGGUGUCCAUCUUUUUCAAAUAUCUUCAAUGUGUUCCACUGCAA